UACGUAGGUGGCAAGCGUUGUCCGGAUUUACUGGGCGUAAAGCGUAUGCAGGCGGAAGCUUAAGUAGGAAGUGAAAGGUUGGAGCUCAACUCUAACACUGCUCCCUAUACUGGGCUUCUUGAGUGCCGGAGAGGACGAGGGAACUGCGCGUGUAGCGGUGAAAUGCGUUGAGAUGUGCAGGAACACCUAUGGCGAAAGCACUCGUCUGGACGGCAACUGACGCUGAGAUACGAAAGCCAAGGGAGCAAACAGG
Molecule: ribosomal RNA, 253 nt
Filed under: uncultured bacterium
Lineage: Bacteria
Description: partial 16S ribosomal RNA
Rfam family: Bacterial small subunit ribosomal RNA
Source: RNAcentral